AUUGAACGCUGGCGGCAGGCCUAACACAUGCAAGUCGAGCGGAUGAAGGGAGCUUGCUCCUGGAUUCAGCGGCGGACGGGUGAGUAAUGCCUAGGAAUCUGCCUGGUAGUGGGGGAUAACGUCCGGAAACGGGCGCUAAUACCGCAUACGUCCUGAGGGAGAAAGUGGGGGAUCUUCGGACCUCACGCUAUCAGAUGAGUCUAGGUCGGAUUAGCUAGUUGGUGGGGUAAAGGCCUACCAAGGCGGCGAUUCGUAACUGGUCUGAGAGGAUGAUCAGUCACACGGGAACUGAGACACGGUCCAGACUCCUGCGGGAGGCCGCAGUCGGGAAUAUUGGGCAAUGGGCGAGAGCCUGAUCCAGCCAUGCCGCGUGUGUGCAGAAGGUCUUCUGAUUGUAAAGCACUUUAAGUUGGGAGGAAGGGCAGUAAGUUAAUACCUUGCUGUUUCGACGUUACCAACAGAAUAAGCACCGGCUAACUUCGUG
RNAcentral lists this ribosomal RNA (484 nucleotides) under uncultured bacterium. RNAcentral's name for it is "partial 16S ribosomal RNA". It matches the Rfam family "Bacterial small subunit ribosomal RNA", at positions 30 to 507 of the family's 1533-position model. The record is from RNAcentral.